AGGAAUUAGGAUAAAACGUGAGUAAAGUUUAUAUAUUUUCUAUCACUGUUUAGUUUUUUUCUUUUUUUCUUUUUUUUAU
RNAcentral lists this non-coding RNA (79 nucleotides) under Mantoniella antarctica. The record is from RNAcentral. Lineage: Eukaryota; Viridiplantae; Chlorophyta; Mamiellophyceae; Mamiellales; Mamiellaceae.